CCUAUCCCCUGUGUGCCUUGGCCUCAGGUGGCAGCAGCCGCGGUAAUACCCGCAGCCCGAGUGGUGGUCGAUUUAUUGAGUCUAAAACGUUCGUAGCCGGUCUGAUAAAUCCUUGGGUAAAUCGGGAAGCUUAACUUCCGAAUUCCGAGGAGACUGUCAGGCUUGGGAUCGGGAGAGGUAUGAGGUACUUCAGGGGUAGGGGUAAAAUCCUGUAAUCCUUGGAGGACCACCGGUGGCGAAGGCGUCAUACUAGAACGAAUCCGACGGUGAGGGACGAAGCCCUAGGUCGCAAACGGGAUUAGAUACCCCGGUAGUCUAGGGUGUAAACGCUGCAGACUUGGUGUUGGAGGCCCUUCGGGGGCAUUCAGUGCCGGAGAGAAGUUGUUAAGUCUGCUACUUGGGGAGUACGUCCGCAAGGAUGAAACUUAAAGGAAUUGGCGGGGGAGCACCGCAAACCGGGAGGAGCGUGCGGUUUAAUUGGAUUCAACACCGGAAAACUCACCAAGGGAGACCAUCACAUGAAAGCCAGGCUAAUGACUUUGCUUGAUUCUUGGAGAAGUGGUGCAUGG
This 569-nucleotide ribosomal RNA is filed under the name uncultured archaeon. RNAcentral's name for it is "bacterial SSU rRNA". It matches the Rfam family "Archaeal small subunit ribosomal RNA", at positions 427 to 997 of the family's 1478-position model. The record is from RNAcentral.